This 207-nucleotide ribosomal RNA is filed under the name uncultured bacterium. RNAcentral's name for it is "partial 16S ribosomal RNA". It matches the Rfam family "Bacterial small subunit ribosomal RNA", at positions 1176 to 1382 of the family's 1533-position model. The record is from RNAcentral.
GGGACGACGUCAAAUCAUCAUGCCCUUUAUGUCCUGGGCUACAUACGUACUACAAUGGCCGUUACAACGGGAAGCGAAGGAGCAAUCCGGAGCAAAUCCCUUAAAGGCGGUCCCAGUUCAGAUUGUGGGCUGAAACUCGCCCACAUGAAGGCGGAAUUGCUAGUAAUUGCAGAUCAGCAUGCUGCAGUGAAUACGUUCCCGGGCCUU